Molecule: long non-coding RNA, 418 nt
Organism: Cheilinus undulatus (humphead wrasse)
Lineage: Eukaryota; Metazoa; Chordata; Actinopteri; Labriformes; Labridae
Exons: 2
Source: RefSeq, a predicted model, not a curated record
CUCGUCACCUGGGGUCACGCAGGCAGCACGGCUGGUUGGCAGCAGAAAUUACACACUACCUUCACUAAACGGUCGAUCCUAACAUUAUAGAGACUCAGCGGUCAGGUUUUUUUUGUUACCCCUUCCUUUCCCUGGAUUGGAUCCGUCGUAAGACUGGCGAGCUACCCAAGGAACUCUGAACUCCCCACACCUCCCCCCCUUUCCCAAAGAAGACUACCACGGUUAGGGUAGGAACAAGGACUCUGGGACAUGAGGAACUGAACUGAUUUAAGGUCGAUUAAAGAAAGGGCAGAACUUUAAUUUUUUUGUAUUUUUUUAAAAAGGCCUCCCUUUGUUAUUAUUGAUGGAUUGUUUGAAGUUGUUUGUGUUUAUUAUUUGGAAAAAAUAUUAUUUGUCAAUACACUUACUUUAAACUUAA